This 665-nucleotide long non-coding RNA is filed under the name Gossypium barbadense (sea-island cotton). Its description in RNAcentral is "long non-coding RNA (GBAR_LNC008257)". Lineage: Eukaryota; Viridiplantae; Streptophyta; Magnoliopsida; Malvales; Malvaceae. The record is from RNAcentral.
CGUAGUUUAAUUUUUAUAAGUAAAUUGGAAAUAAAUUAAGGUUAUAUAAAUAUUCAAUAGUAAAUGAGAUCGAUAGAACUUUUUCUAAGUCUUUUUGAAUUUUUUAAGAUUCAUCAUACGUGGCGUUGUUACACCUAGGGAGGAUCCAUUAUAUCUUACAGCUCGAUAUAAGGUAACCCGUCAGGUUUCCAACCUAUAUACUUUGAAUCUUUAAAAUAUUUAAAAUAAAGUUGGAGAGAAGGUCAGCUAUUGUUGUAAUUUUAAUGAACAAGCAAGCUACAUGGUAAUAAACAUUCAAUAGUAAAUGAGAUCGAUAGAACUUUUUUCAAGUCUUCUUGAAUUUUUUAAGAUUCAUCAUACGUUGCGUUGUUACACCUAGGGAGGAUCCAUUAUAUCUUACAGCUCGAUAUAAGGCAACCCGUCAGGUUUUCAGCCUAUAUACUUUGAAUCUUUAAAAUAUUUAAAAUAAGGUUGGAGAGAAGGUCAGCUAUUGUUGUAAUUUUAAUAGACAAGCAAGCUACAUGGUAAUAAUACUAAUUCAUACUUAUUCAUACUCCACUCUCACCAGCAAACAGAGGCUUGAGUCAAAAAAGUAAUAUUUGUUAAGUAAUUUAAAGUGAAAAUGCAUAGAAAUAAGGAAAAGAAUUUAGCAACGAAACCUGUAC